RNAcentral lists this transfer RNA (92 nucleotides) under Candidatus Rifleibacteriota bacterium. RNAcentral's name for it is "tRNA-Ser". It matches the Rfam family "tRNA". Rfam says of the family: Transfer RNA (tRNA) molecules are approximately 80 nucleotides in length. Their secondary structure includes four short double-helical elements and three loops (D, anti-codon, and T loops). Lineage: Bacteria; Candidatus Rifleibacteriota. The record is from RNAcentral.
GGAGAGGUGGCCGAGCUGGCUUAAGGCAACGGUUUGCUAAACCGUCGUAGGGUCAUAAAGCUCUACCGGGGGUUCGAAUCCCCCCCUCUCCG